This 253-nucleotide ribosomal RNA is filed under the name uncultured bacterium. RNAcentral describes it as "partial 16S ribosomal RNA". It matches the Rfam family "Bacterial small subunit ribosomal RNA", at positions 524 to 776 of the family's 1533-position model. The record is from RNAcentral.
CACGUAGGGGGCAAGCGUUGUCCGGAUUUAUUGGGCGUAAAGAGCGUGUAGGCGGUCAGGUAGGUCGGUUGUGAAAACUGGAGGCUCAACCUUCAGAGGUCGACCGAAACCCCCUGGCUAGAGUCCGGGAGAGGAGAGUGGAAUUCCUGGUGUAGCGGUGAAAUGCGCAGAUAUCAGGAAGAACACCCGUGGCGAAAGCGGCUCUCUGGAACGGUACUGACGCUGAGACGCGAAAGCGUGGGGAGCGAACAGG